GAUGAACGCUGGCGGCGUGCUUAACACAUGCAAGUCGAACGGAAAGGCCCAAGCUUGCUUGGGUACUCGAGUGGCGAACGGGUGAGUAACACGUGGGUGAUCUGCCCUGCACUUCGGGAUAAGCCUGGGAAACUGGGUCUAAUACCGGAUAGGACCACAUUUUGGAUGGUGUGGUGGAAAGUUUUUCGGUGUGGGAUGAGCUCGCGGCCUAUCAGCUUGUUGGUGGGGUAAUGGCCUACCAAGGCGUCGACGGGUAGCCGGCCUGAGAGGGUGUACGGCCACAUUGGGACUGAGAUACGGCCCAGACUCCUACGGGAGGCAGCAGUGGGGAAUAUUGCACAAUGGGCGCAAGCCUGAUGCAGCGACGCCGCGUGGGGGAUGACGGCCUUCGGGUUGUAAACUCCUUUCGCUAGGGACGAAGCGCAAGUGACGGUACCUGGAGAAGAAGCACCGGCUAACUAUGUG
This 465-nucleotide ribosomal RNA is filed under the name uncultured bacterium. RNAcentral's name for it is "partial 16S ribosomal RNA". It matches the Rfam family "Bacterial small subunit ribosomal RNA", at positions 28 to 507 of the family's 1533-position model. The record is from RNAcentral.